CAUUACUAUUGCUGAGACAAAAAAAAAAAAAAUGGAUAAGUCACUCACUGGAAGAUGAAUGUUUUUCUUUUCAUGGCAAAGGCUAGUAGUGACCAAAAAAUAAUUUUCACAUUUACCUUGUGGGAAUAGUCUGUAUCUCCAGCCAGGGAAGAACUGGAAUGGGAUCUUUCUGCUACACGACCAGCACAUGAGCUUCAUAAUAGAGGUUUGAAGCAUAAAAAUUAACCAGUGAGUUUUAAAAUUAAAGAGACAUAAUCCUCGUUACCUUCAAUGCCCAGCUCCAGAGACGGCUCCUCCUAGCUCCCGCUUCCAGCAUGGAGCUCUGGCCUCCAGCCACCUAAUGCGGUGGCGAGGUUAACACAAUAGGCCAGCGAGAGGGAGAACACGCCAGGGAGUGAGCUUUUAUUGGGGAACAAUAAAUUCAAGGGAAAAUUCCAUCCAAUGAAGGUCGAGGGGGGCAGCAUUCCAAGGUCAGGGUCAGUGAUUGGUCUUCAGGUCAGUGGUCAGGCACACCUCCACACGGACAAACCCUCGCACCUGGGACAGGGCGAGGAAGGCUCUGACAAAACUGUGUCUGAGCGCCUGUCACCCAGUCAGGAAGGUAACUCAAAUCACAUGCGAGAAUGGCUUCCCACAGAUCUUCAAAUUGAAAUAAUGCACACCUCACUCCAACGUCAUAAGCUCAGAAACUGAAAAUAGUUCUGUGAUUAAAGGAACUGGUUGGAGGCAUUGUGCUGCCUCCAAGGAAGGGCUGAUGGCCACUGCUUACCCUUAGAGUCUGUAAUCAAUGAAAUAAUGAAAACAACACAGAAGUAGUUAUCAACUGUAGAGUUACUUUCCUGAAAACUCUAUUCCUUGCUCCUUUCUUUAAAACAAAGGGGGGAAAAUGCU
RNAcentral lists this long non-coding RNA (891 nucleotides) under Marmota monax (woodchuck). Lineage: Eukaryota; Metazoa; Chordata; Mammalia; Rodentia; Sciuridae. The record is from RNAcentral.